AGGACGAACGCUGGCGGCGUGCUUAACACAUGCAAGUCGAGCGGAAAGGCUCCUUUCGGGGGGUACUCGAGCGGCGAACGGGUGAGUAACACGUGAGUAACCUGCCCUGGACUUUGGGAUAACCCUCGGAAACGGGGGCUAAUACCGGAUAUGACACGCGGAUGCAUGUUUGUGUGUGGAAAGAUUUUUCGGCUGGGAUGGGCUCGCGGCCUAUCAGCUUGGUUGGUGGGUGAUGGCCUACCAAGGCGACG
RNAcentral lists this ribosomal RNA (251 nucleotides) under uncultured bacterium. RNAcentral's name for it is "partial small subunit ribosomal RNA". It matches the Rfam family "Bacterial small subunit ribosomal RNA", at positions 26 to 278 of the family's 1533-position model. The record is from RNAcentral.